CCUACGGGUGGCAGCAGUGAGGAAUAUUGGUCAAUGGACGCGAGCCUGAACCAGCCAAGUAGCGUGAAGGAAGAAUGCACUAUGGGUUGUAAACUUCUUUUAGAUGGGAAUAAAAUGUGCCACGAGUGGGCGUAUGAGUGUACCUUAAGAAUAAGCAUCGGCUAACUCCGUGCCAGCAGCCGCGGUAAUACGGAGGAUGCGAGCGUUAUCCGGAUUUCUUGGGUUUAAAGGGAGCGCAGGCGGAUGGUCAAGUCAGUAGUGAAAGUGUGGGGCUCAACCGUAGGCUUGCAGUUGAAACUGGCGUGCUAGAGUUGGGGAGAGGUGUGCGGAAGUCGUGGUGUAGCGGUGAAAUGCGUAGAUAUCACGAAGAACACCGAUUGCGAAGGCAGCUCACUGGACUGCAACUGACGCGGAGGCUCGAAAGUGUGGGUAUCAAACAGGAUUAGAUACCCCUGUAGUC
Molecule: ribosomal RNA, 460 nt
Filed under: uncultured bacterium
Lineage: Bacteria
Description: partial 16S ribosomal RNA
Rfam family: Bacterial small subunit ribosomal RNA
Source: RNAcentral